Molecule: unclassified non-coding RNA, 1870 nt
Filed under: Leishmania donovani
Lineage: Eukaryota; Euglenozoa; Kinetoplastea; Trypanosomatida; Trypanosomatidae
Description: gene:LdHU3.36.8400(CDS-product:rab-like_GTPase_ac tivating_protein_putative)
Source: RNAcentral
ACGCGUUUGUCUGUUCGCCAGGGUGCACCGCAUCUCUUUCAAACAGUCGUUUUGUUGUAACUUUUUCGUUCUCUUUUUCUUCAUACACACGUCGUCACCGCCAUCACAGGUAACAAAGACGCCACCCCUCUUUUUGCCGCCACCACCGGCGUCUCUCCGACAACGGUGGUGGAGGGAACUAUCAUGAUCCUCCCUCACGCCGAGGAAGUAGAGCUGCGCCGCGGGUCAUCGCCGGCAACCAUCACCUCCACCACGGGGCGCGUAAACCGUGUCGCCGUGGAAACUAGCAGCGAGGAAAACCAGGAGGCGGUCUCGCAGGACAGGCUUGAGGGCCGCGAUGGCGCAGGGAAGUGCCCCGCUACAUCCGCGAGCCUCGGUACACCCUCGAAGAAAGACUGUUUCCAAGCCACCUCCUCUAAGGUGAAGGGUGCCUUGAGCGCGCCCCGCCGCGCCGCCUACGAAUUCCACGACAUGUUCGGCUUCCUCGUAACAGAGGAGGAGAAGGCCGCGGAGGACUACGAGCGCCGAAACAACGGUUACAGCCGCGCAUAUCUGGAUAAGUGGGAGUACAUGAUGGACCACUGGGCCAGCGUGAAGCAUGACACACUGAAGAGGUACUGCAGACGCGGAGUGCCGCAACCGAAGCGGUGCGCUGUCUGGCAGCACCUGCUGCAGAGCUGGGGAAUGAAGGAUCGUCUCCCAGGGGUGUACAUGCGCCUCCACAGUCAGCCACUCGACUCCAAAGACUUGGCAGACGUCAUCGCGCGCGACCUCGAUCGCACCUUCCCGACGAACCGCCUCUUCAGCGUGAGGUCGGGCCAGGGGCAGCAGAUGCUGCGCCGCAUCCUUCACGCCUACGCAAACUACAACCCCGACGUGGGGUACUGCCAGGGCAUGGGCUUCCUCGCUGCCACCCUCAUCCUCCAGGUGGAGGAGGAGGAGGACGCCUUUUGGGCCUUUGUCGCUGUCAUGGAGAACGCCAAGUACAAUAUGAAGGCCGUCUUCGCCCCUAGCUUCCCGCAACUGCAAUGUGCCUUUUACGUCUUCGAGGCACUGAUGCGCCAGAAGAUGCGGAAGCUGUACGCCCACCUGCACGACAGGCAUACUAUUCCCCCGUGUUUCUACGCUGUACACUGGUUCAUGACCAUCUUUACAUACUACUUCAACUUUGGUCUUGUGUCCCGCAUCUGGGACAUGUUUCUCUGCGAGGGGUGGAAGCCGGUGUACCGCAUCGCGCUGGCGCUGCUCAAGAUCGAGGAGCGGCGGUUGCUGUCACUGAACACAGAUACAGAACUGCUGCUGGUACUCAAGGGCAUUCAGGAGUCGAAACGUCCUGCUGAGCUGCUCAAGACCGCGCUCAAAAUACGUUUCAAGAGCGCCUACAUGAACGAGUUAAUGACUGAGUACAGCGGGCAACCAAGUUAGCGGGCGUGUUGCGGAGCGCACGUACGUCUCUUAGUGCCCAUCCAAUUGAGCGGACCCCGCGAGCGACAGGCCAGCCCGGGUGGACGUGCGCAUGCGUUCACGCGCGUACAGCAAAGAAGACGCUCUGUAUAUUCCCCUCUAUAUUUCUGCCCAUCACGGUUCUCCUUCAGCUCGCUUCAGUGGAGCGGGGGGGGGCAGAUGGGUGCCACAGUGCAGAAGUGGGCGGUGUAUUCGGUGUGAGCGGUACCCAGCUCAUACACAGAGAGAGAGGCUCACGCGAAAUUGUGCGCACAGUUGUGCGUGAUGCGGCCUUUGCGGUUUUAGUAGUUUGCCUCCCCUAUGCCGGCCCCACUUUGAUGCCCUGUAUCUGUUACUACUCCGCUCGAUUUGGAAUUGCGUCGUCGUCUUUUUGCUUUCUGUGCUUGAGCUUCUCGACCUUCCCGAC